AUUGAACGCUGGCGGAAUGCUUUACACAUGCAAGUCGAACGGCAGCACGGACUUCGGUCUGGUGGCGAGUGGCGAACGGGUGAGUAAUACAUCGGAACGUGCCCAGUCGUGGGGGAUAACGUAGCGAAAGCUACGCUAAUACCGCAUACGAUCUAAGGAUGAAAGCGGGGGAUCGCAAGACCUCGCGCGAUUGGAGCGGCCAAUGGCAGAUUAGGUAGUUGGUGGGGUAAAGGCCUACCAAGCCGACGAUCUGUAGCUGGUCUGAGAGGACGACCAGCAACACUGGGACUGAGACACGGCCCAGACUCCUACGGGAGGCAGCAGUGGGGAAUUUUGGACAAUGGGCGCAAGCCUGAUCCAGCCAUUCCGCGUGCAGGAUGAAGGCCCUCGGGUUGUAAACUGCUUUUGUACAGAACGAAAAGGCUCUGGUUAAUACCUGGGGCUCAUGACGGUACUGUAAGAAUAAGCACCGGCUAACUACGUGCCAGCAGCCGCCGUAA
This 500-nucleotide ribosomal RNA is filed under the name uncultured bacterium. Its description in RNAcentral is "partial 16S ribosomal RNA". It matches the Rfam family "Bacterial small subunit ribosomal RNA", at positions 30 to 523 of the family's 1533-position model. The record is from RNAcentral.